GGGGCGUUAGCUCAGUUGGGAGAGCAGUUGCUUUGCAAGCAACAGGUCACCGGUUCGAGCCCGGUACGCUCCA
RNAcentral lists this transfer RNA (73 nucleotides) under Phycisphaera sp. RNAcentral's name for it is "tRNA-Ala". It matches the Rfam family "tRNA". Rfam says of the family: Transfer RNA (tRNA) molecules are approximately 80 nucleotides in length. Their secondary structure includes four short double-helical elements and three loops (D, anti-codon, and T loops). Further hydrogen bonds mediate the characteristic L-shaped molecular structure. tRNAs have two regions of fundamental functional importance: the anti-codon, which is responsible for specific mRNA codon recognition, and the 3' end, to which the tRNAs corresponding amino acid is attached (by aminoacyl-tRNA synthetases). tRNAs cope with the degeneracy of the genetic code in two manners: having more than one tRNA (with a specific anti-codon) for a particular amino acid; and 'wobble' base-pairing, i.e. permitting non-standard base-pairing at the 3rd anti-codon position. Lineage: Bacteria; Pseudomonadati; Planctomycetota; Phycisphaerae; Phycisphaerales; Phycisphaeraceae. The record is from RNAcentral.